GACGAACGCUGGCGGCGUGCUUAACACAUGCAAGUCGAACGGAAAGGCCCUGCUUUUGUUGGUUGCUCGAUUGGCGAACGGGUGAGUAACACGUGAGUAACCUCCCCUUGACUUUGUGAUAACUUCAGGAAACUGGGGCUAAUACCGGAUAUAAGCUCCUGCUGCAUGUUGGGGGUUGGAAAGUUUCGGCUGUUGGGGAUGGACUCGCGGCUUAUCAGCUUGUUUGUGGGGUAGUGGCUUACCAAGGCUUUGACGGGUAGCCGGCCUGAGAGGGUGACCGGCGACAAGGGGACUGAGAGACGGACCAGACGCGUACGGGAGGCAGCAGGGGGGAAUAUUGCACAAUGGGCGGAAGUCUGAGGCAGAAACGCCGGGUGCGGAAUGACGGCCUUCGGGUUGUAAACCGAUUUCGCCGGUGACAAAGAGGGAGUGACGGUAAUGGGUAAAGAAGCAACGGCUAACUACGUG
RNAcentral lists this ribosomal RNA (468 nucleotides) under uncultured bacterium. Its description in RNAcentral is "partial 16S ribosomal RNA". It matches the Rfam family "Bacterial small subunit ribosomal RNA", at positions 28 to 507 of the family's 1533-position model. The record is from RNAcentral.